This is an RNA transcript of Panicum virgatum (switchgrass), 5576 nucleotides long. It is a transcript of the gene named DNA-directed RNA polymerase IV subunit 1-like, with no coding region annotated. The record is from RefSeq and is a predicted model, not a curated record. The transcript has 20 exons. NCBI's taxonomy places the organism in Eukaryota, Viridiplantae, Streptophyta, Magnoliopsida, Poales, Poaceae.
CGGCGGUCCCGGCGGAUGACAAAUGGGCCCCAUCUGACACCCACACCAGCGGCGCUCUGGCAGCGGCAGGCACCCAAAACCCGAGGAGGCGAGACACAAACCUUGAGAACACCUCAAAAGGAGGAGAUUCUCCUCGCCCCUUCCAGCAGCGCAGCCGACGGGCGAGGCGGCGACGGUAGCCGCCGUCGCAGCCGCUGCCUUCGCCUCCUGCCGGUCCUCUCCCGCGCGGUCUCGCAGGACGCCGCGCCGCCACUGUGGUGUUCGGGGGCGGCUCGGAGGACCCGCGGCCCCCUCGGCUUAUCCGCCCCUCCGCCGCCGGCGCCAUCGAGGAUGGAGCUAAAUCACGAACUUCCUAGAGCUACUCUUAAUGCCAUAAAAAUUGAUCUCAUGACCAGUGCAGAUAUGGAAAAAUUGAGCAGCAUAAGCAUAGUAGAAGUAAGUGAUGUCACUAGUCCCAAGUUAGGACUACCAAAUGGUUCGCCGCAGUGUGAGACUUGUGGAUCUCAAAGUGAACGUGACUGUGAUGGGCAUUUUGGUGUGACUAAGCUGGCAGCAACUGUACACAACCCAUACUUUAUCGAUGAAGUUGUUCACUUUCUAAAUCAAAUAUGUCCUGGCUGCCUUAGUCCAAGGGAAAGCAUAGAUUUGAAGAGAUUGGGGAGUGAACCAGUUCAAACAGCAUGCAAGUAUUGCUCGAAGGAUGGCUCUAAACUUUACCCUAGCGUAAUCUUUAAGACGCUGUCAAGUCCAAGAGUAUUAUUAUCCAAGAGUAGACUUCACAGAAGCACAAGCGUGAUGGAAAGAAUUUCGAUUGUUGCAGAAGCUACUGACAGAGUGUCUAAUAAGUCAAAGGGUAAAGGUUUGCUUGAAGGCCUGCCCCAGGAUUAUUGGGAUUUUGUACCUUCUGAAAAUCAGCAACUGCAGUCUACUAUGACCAAGAUAAUAUUAUCACCCUACCAAGUCUUUCACAUGUUGAAGAAAAGUGACCCUGAACUUAUAAAACAAUUUGUUUCAAGGCGGGAGCUAUUGUUUCUAUCAUGUUUACCAGUGACUCCUAAUUGCCAUCGUGUUGUGGAGAUUGGAUAUGGUCUUUCAGAUGCGCGGCUAACUUUUGAUGACAGAACAAAGGCUUACAAGAGGAUGGUUGAUGUCAGUAGGAGAAUUGAUGACUACCGUCAGCAUCCACAGUUCAGUGUUCUCGCAAGUUCACUUGUCUCAAGCCGAGUUUCAGAAUGCCUGAAGUCAUCCAAGUUAUACUCUAGAAAGACAGAGGGGGAGACAACCACAGAUACGUACGGAAUGAAAUGGCUAAAGGAUGCUGUUCUCAGCAAAAGAUCAGAUAAUGCUUUUCGAAGUAUUAUGGUUGGAGACCCAAAAAUUAGGUUAUGGGAAAUUGGCAUUCCUGAAGGUUUAGCUUCAAAUUUGGUUGUUUCUGAGCCUGUUAGUACUUAUAAUUUAGAAAAUAUGAAUUUGAAGUGCAACCUGCACCUUCUAGCUAAGGAAGAACUGUUUAUUCGCCGAAAUGGGAAGCUAAUGUUUAUUCGGAAGGCAAAUCAGCUAGAAGUUGGCGACAUUGCCUAUAGACCAUUGCAAGAUGGUGAUCUUAUUCUCAUCAACAGGCCUCCUUCAGUUCAUCAACAUUCACUGAUUGCAUUGUCUACAAAAAUUCUUCCAAUUCAGUCUGUUGUAUCAAUCAAUCCACUAUGCUGUACACCUUUUUUGGGAGACUUUGAUGGGGAUUGUUUGCAUGGAUAUAUCCCACAAUCUAUACGAUCAAGAAUUGAGCUUGGAGAGCUGGUAAGCUUACACCAGCAGCUGUUGAAUAUGCAAGAUGGUCGGAGUUUGGUGUCACUAACACAUGACUCUCUUGCUGCUGCACAUUUGUUAACAAGUGCAGAUAUUUUUCUGAAGAAAUCUGAAUUACAGCAGCUUCAAAUGCUAUGCCUUUCAGUAUCAGACACACCAGUACCAGCAGUAGUUAAAUCUAUGGACUUUCAAAGUUCUCUGUGGACUGGUAAGCAAUUAUUCAGCAUGCUUCUUCCUUCAGGCAUGAAUUUCAUUUGCGAUAGGAAGUUGCACAUAAUAGACAGUGAAGUUCUUACCUGCUCUUCGGGGUCUUCUUGGUUACAAAAUAGCACAUCUGGUCUCUUUUCUAUCAUGUUCAAACAGUAUGGCCACAAGGCACUUGACUUCCUUUCUUCUGCCCAAGAAGUACUCUGUGAGUUCUUAACAAUGAGGGGUUUAAGUGUCUCUCUUUCAGAUCUGUAUAUGUUCUCAGAUCAUUACUCAAGGAGAAAACUGACUGAGGGAGUCAAACUGGCUUUGGAUGAAGCUGAAGAAGCUUUCCGAAUCAAGCAAAUAUUGCUGGAUCCAAUCAACAUACCUGUUCUAAAGUGUCAUGAUGAAACUGAAGAUGUAACUUACAGACAAUCUGAUUAUAUUCUGAACAAUCUAUCAGUUGUCAGAUCUUCAAUCAUGGCAUUUAAAGAUGUCUUCAGUGAUCUCCUAAAAAUGGUGCAACAACAUGUUAGCAAUGAUAACUCGAUGAUGGUGAUGAUUAAUGCGGGAAGCAAGGGUAGCAUGUUGAAAUAUGCGCAGCAAACUGCAUGUGUUGGUCUUCAACUUCCAGCAAGCAAAUUUCCCUUCAGAAUUCCUUCCGAACUCUCAUGUAUUAGCUGGAAUGAGCAGAAGUCAUUAAGUUGUGAAGCUGAGGGUAACAACGGACGUGUGGGAGGUCAAAACCUUUACGCUGUAAUCAGGCAUUCCUUCAUUGAGGGUUUAAAUCCAUUGGAGUGUCUUCUGCAUGCUAUAUCUGGUAGGGCAAACUUCUUCAGUGAGCAUGCUGAUGUGCCUGGGACACUAACGAGAAAGUUAAUGUAUCACUUGAGAGAUCUACAUGUUGCUUAUGAUGGAACUGUUAGAAGUUCUUACGGGCAGCACAUAACACAAUUCUCUUAUGACACUGCUGAUGAUAUGUAUUGUAAUCGUGAUCGGAUAGAUGAAAUUGGUGCCCCUGUUGGUUCUUGGGCCGCUAGUUCGGUUUCAGAAGCUGCAUAUGGAGCUUUGGAUCACCCAGUUAAUGGUUUAGAGGACUCCCCUCUAAUGAAUCUACAAGAAGUAUUUAAGUGUCACAAGGGUACAAAUUCUGGUGAUCAUGUUGGUUUGCUUUUCCUGUCAAAGCAUUUGAAGAAGUAUAGAUAUGGUCUGGAAUAUGCAUCCCUAGAAGUUAAAAACCAUCUCGAGCGAGUAAACUUCUCUGAUUUGGUUGAAAUCGUCAUGAUUAUAUAUGAUGGAUGUGACACAAGAAGAAAAGGAGGACCUUGGACCACCCAUUUUCAUAUAAGCAAGGAAAUGAUGAAGAAGAAAAGGUUAGGAUUGGGAUUUGUUGUAGAAGAGCUUACAAAAGAGUAUGACACAAUUAAAAACCAGCUAAACAAUGCAAUCCCAUCAGUUUGUAUUUCAAAGAGAAAAUGUUCAGUAGGUGAUGAGUGUGUUCAAAAUUCAACUUGCUGUAUCACAGUGGUAGCACAAGCUGAAUCCAACUCCAUGUCUCAGUUGGACAUUAUCAAGAAAAGAGUGAUUCCAAUCAUACUGGAUACACUACUGAAAGGUUUUUUGGAAUUUAAGGAUGUUGAGAUCCAGUGUCGGCAUGAUGGUGAACUUCUUGUGAAAGUUGGUAUGUCUGAGCAUUGCAAGGCUGGGAGGUUCUGGGCUACUCUACAAAAUGCUUGCAUUCCAGUAAUGGAGCUGAUUGACUGGGAGCAGAGUCGACCAAAGAAUGUAUACGAUAUUUUCUGUUCAUAUGGCAUAGACUCGGCAUGGAAAUGCUUUGUUGAAUAUUUAAAAUCAGUAACGGCUGAUAUUGGAAGGAAUGUUCGUCGGGAGCACUUACUAGUUGUUGCAGAUUGCUUGUCUGUGACUGGGCAGUUCCAUGCAUUAAGCAGUCAAGGUUUAAAGCAGCAGCGCACUUUGUUAUCGAUCUCAUCUCCAUUUUCGGAAGCAUGUUUUUCUAGGCCUGCACAAAGUUUUAUAAAUGCUGCAAAGCAAUGUUCAGUGGACAAUUUGUGUGGAAGUCUAGAUGCAAUUGCUUGGGGCAAAGAGCCUUUCAAUGGGACGUCAGGGCCUUUUGAAAUUAUGCAUGUGGGAAAGCCACAUGAACCAGAAGAAAAUGAGAGCAUCUAUGGUUUCUUAUGCGACCCUGAAGUUCGGAAUUUUGAAAAGAAUCAUAUGGAUACCUGCAGACAUAGUACUGAAAAUUCUUUGAGAUGUAGGUUAGCAUGCAAGUAUAAAGGCAAUGCAACCAUCAACGGUGGAGACAUAACCAUCGACCAAGGCUUUCUUCAGGCUAAAGUUGGUAUAUGGGAUAACAUUAUUGAUAUGCGUACUUCGCUACAGAACAUGCUAAGAGAGUACCCAUUAAAUGGAUAUGUGAUGGAGCCAGAUAAAUCACUAUUAGUCAAAGCCCUGAAGUUUCAUCCCAAAGGGGCUGAAAAGAUUGGUGUUGGAGUAAAAGAAAUUAAGUUAGAAGGGAUCCUCUCAGUUUACAAAGAGUAGGUUUCUUUUAGACAUAUGGUUCCUGUAUUGACCUCGCAGGAGAGCUAUGUAUCAUUAUAUCAAGAAGAUAAAGAGGGUAAAGAACACUUGCAACACACCCGAAGAACCAAACACAGUCACACCCAGGUUUCAAAAAUUACAUGCACACCUGUGCUAAAAGAAUAACCUACCAUGACCAGGUUGUGUAUUUAACAUGUUGUCCUUUGGCCAAGCUUGUUUAAUGUCAUUGGUUUUAGCAAACAUCACUGACGAGCUGUCCAAUUUGCUGGAAAAGGGUCACGUGCAAUUAUCAUUGUAAGCCUUAUUAUCAGCCUUGUAAGCACUGUAAGCAUCUCAAGGUUGAGCAAACAAUAAUCCUUCCACUCAUAGACCGGAUGACACUAAAGAUCGGACUGAAUCCUAGUCACCCAGGUACAAGAUGCUUCAUUUUACUGAGGAAUGAUGAUACAACUGAAGACUUUUCUUACAACAAGUGUGUUCAGGGUGCUGCAAAUUCUAUUUCACCUCAACUAGGAAGUUAUUUUGAGAAGAAACUAUACCUUAGAGGAUAAGUUGUCUCACUAGUUGGCACAUGGUAGUGCUCCUGGCAUUUGUCCUGUCCUGACCAGACCAGACCAGACCAUAUGAAGGGUGCUCAAAUUGCUCAGAAAGAAUGAAUCAGCAUAGAUCUCGUGCAUCUUCCUAUAGAAGGUCGUCGGGAUUGGGAUGAAUAUCAACUCAACUCAACUCAUUGGGACUACCGAAGGCAGGUUUGAAAGAGUCGUGACUCUGGUUUCAUGCCUCCAUUUCCGUAGUCCUAGUCUACUCGUCUGCUAGCCUGCAUGUUGUGUAUUGUGAGCAUAUUGCGUCACUAGAACAUGAUGUGGUGCAAUAUUCGUUUAUUUUGUUUCCGAGAAUUGUUGGUGGCACGGCAUACAAUAGGCGCUACCACCUCCUUGUACUACUUGCACCUCCCGGCAUUCUACUGUGGUAACCAUGAAAGCUUAUGUUGUGAUUCAGUACGAUAUUUGUGACAAACCUAA